UUCUGUAUGGAAGGGCCAUCGCUCAAAGGAUAAAAGGUACGCCGGGGAUAACAGGCUGAUCCUGACCAAGAGUUCACAUCGACGUCAGGGUUUGGCACCUCGAUGUCGGCUCAUCGCAUCCUGGGGCUGGAGCAGGUCCCAAGGGUUCGGCUGUUCGCCGAUUAAAGCGGUACGUGAGCUGGGUUUAGAACGUCGCGAGACAGUUCGGUCCCUAUCUGUUGUGGGCGGAGGAGAAUUGAGUGGAGGUUUCCUUAGUACGAGAGGACCGGGAAGCACUGACCUCUAGUGUACGAGUUGUCCCGCCAGGGGCAUCGCUCGGUAGCUACGUCGGGAAAGGAUAAUCGCUGAAAGCAUAUAAGCGAGAAGCCAACCACAAGAUGAGUUCUCCCUGAAGACCCGUGGUAGAUGACCACGUUGAUAGGCUGGAUGUGGAAGAGCAGCGAUGCUCGUAGCUGACCAGUACUAAUCGGUCGUUUGACUUGACCAU
This 487-nucleotide ribosomal RNA is filed under the name Acidobacteriota bacterium. RNAcentral describes it as "Acidobacteria bacterium (rhizosphere metagenome) partial 23S ribosomal RNA". It matches the Rfam family "Bacterial large subunit ribosomal RNA", at positions 2427 to 2925 of the family's 2925-position model. The record is from RNAcentral. Lineage: Bacteria; Pseudomonadati; Acidobacteriota.